GGUGAAAUGGCUCAGUGGUUAAGAGCACUGACUGCUCUUCUAGGAGUCCUGAGUUCAAUUCUCAGCAACCA
RNAcentral lists this transfer RNA (71 nucleotides) under Mus musculus (house mouse). Its description in RNAcentral is "tRNA-Ser". Lineage: Eukaryota; Metazoa; Chordata; Mammalia; Rodentia; Muridae. The record is from RNAcentral.